Molecule: ribosomal RNA, 253 nt
Filed under: uncultured bacterium
Lineage: Bacteria
Description: partial 16S ribosomal RNA
Rfam family: Bacterial small subunit ribosomal RNA
Source: RNAcentral
UACGAAGGGGGCUAGCGUUGCUCGGAAUCACUGGGCGUAAAGGGCGCGUAGGCGGCCAUUCAAGUCGGGGGUGAAAGCCCAGGGCUUAACCCUGGAAUUGCCUUCGAUACUGUUUGGCUAGAGACCGGAAGAGGUAAGUGGAACUGCGAGUGUAGAGGUGAAAUUCGUAGAUAUUCGCAAGAACACCAGUGGCGAAGGCGGCUUACUGGUCCGGUUCUGACGCUGAGGCGCGAAAGCGUGGGGAGCAAACAGG